CCUACGGGUGGCAGCAGUCGAGAAUCAUUCACAAUGGGGGAAACCCUGAUGGUGCGACGCCGCGUGGGGGAAUGAAGGUCUUCGGAUUGUAAACCCCUGUCAUGUGGGAGCAAAUUAAAAAGAUAGUACCACAAGAGGAAGAGACGGCUAACUCUGUGCCAGCAGCCGCGGUAAUACAGAGGUCUCAAGCGUUGUUCGGAAUCACUGGGCGUAAGGCGUGCGUAGGCUGUUUCGUAAGUCGGGUGUGAAAGGCGCGGGCUCAACCCGCGGACGGCACAUGAUACUGGGAGACUAGAGUAAUGGAGGGGGAACCGGAAUUCUCGGUGUAGCAGUGAAAUGCGUAGAUAUCGAGAGGAACACUCGUGGCGAAGGCGGGUUCCUGGACAUUAACUGACGCUGAGGCACGAAGGCCAGGGGAGCGAAAGGGAUUAGAUACCCUUGUAGUC
Molecule: ribosomal RNA, 446 nt
Filed under: uncultured bacterium
Lineage: Bacteria
Description: partial 16S ribosomal RNA
Rfam family: Bacterial small subunit ribosomal RNA
Source: RNAcentral